GCGGAGUUGCCGGAGUGGUCAAACGGGACGCCCUCAAGAGGCGUUAGCUUAUGCUUACGAAGGUUCGAAUCCUUUACUCCGCA
Molecule: transfer RNA, 83 nt
Filed under: archaeon
Lineage: Archaea
Description: tRNA-Leu
Rfam family: tRNA
About the family: Transfer RNA (tRNA) molecules are approximately 80 nucleotides in length. Their secondary structure includes four short double-helical elements and three loops (D, anti-codon, and T loops).
Source: RNAcentral